AUUGAACGCUGGCGGCAGGCUUAACACAUGCAAGUCGAGCGGGGAAAGGUAGCUUGCUCCCUAACCUAGCGGCGGACGGGUGAGUAAUGCUUAGGAAUCUGCCUAUUAGUGGGGGACAACAUCUCGAAAGGGAUGCUAAUACCGCAUACGUCCUACGGGAGAAAGCAGGGGACCUUCGGGCCUUGCGCUAAUAGAUGAGCCUAAGUCGGAUUAGCUAGUUGGUGGGGUAAAGGCCUACCAAGGCGACGAUCUGUAGCGGGUCUGAGAGGAUGAUCCGCCACACUGGGACUUAGACACGGCCCAGACUCCUACGGGAGGCAGCAGUGGGGAAUAUUUGACAAUGGGGGGAACCCUGAUCCAGCCAUGCCGCGUGUGUGAAGAAGGCCUUUUGGUUGUAAAGCACUUUAAGCGAGGAGGAGGCUACCGAGAUUAAUACUCUUGGAUAGUGGACGUUACUCGCAGAAUAAGCACCGGCUAACUCUGUG
This 485-nucleotide ribosomal RNA is filed under the name uncultured bacterium. Its description in RNAcentral is "partial 16S ribosomal RNA". It matches the Rfam family "Bacterial small subunit ribosomal RNA", at positions 30 to 507 of the family's 1533-position model. The record is from RNAcentral.